This is a long non-coding RNA of Eleginops maclovinus (Patagonian blennie), 1005 nucleotides long. RefSeq lists it as uncharacterized. Lineage: Eukaryota; Metazoa; Chordata; Actinopteri; Perciformes; Eleginopidae. The record is from RefSeq and is a predicted model, not a curated record. The transcript is spliced from 3 exons.
GGCUGAGCCUGCUGAAGAUAAACAGGGAGGACACUUCCUCUUGUGACAGUAUUUAAGCAGCUCCAUCCAGCUGAUGAUUCAAUCGUUCAGCUGACUGAUCGCAGAGUUUGACAGAUCGCUGCUCGCUCGCCUACAGACAGAAAACAUGACCACUGCUCCCCUGAUCCUCGUCAUGAUCGCUUUGGCCUUCGUACAAUCAUUUGCACUGAAAAGGCACAAUAAACCACCUUGUCGGGAGAAAAAUGAUAACAAUGCGUACCAAAUAUUUUCUCAAAAACACAUCCUUCGGAAACAAUUUGACACAAACAACAUAGCUGCGUGGCAAACAUACAUCCAUGGACUGCGACUCCCCGGCAACAGACCUCUGCAGUCAUUCUUCGACAAUGGGGAUGAGCCAAGAGUCCAGGCCAUCUGUAAUGGCAAAGGACACCAGAUAGCUAAACCACAGUAUAACCAAGCUAACUUAUGCAUCAGUGACCAACCAUUUGUUUUUCAUUUUGUUGAAUCGGAUCAAAAUGGCAGGGUUUUAAAGGUUACUCAUCCUAAACAAUUGGUGGUUGUGGCUUGUGAUAAGGUCAGAAACCAAUGUCGUCCUGUUCAUUUUGAGAAGUACAACAGCCAACAGCCUAAUACAAAAGUACCCUGUAGGCCUUAGCAGCGUAGAAACGGUUUUUGAGGGUUAGAAGACAUUAGAUUGCAUUUCUUAAUCCUAUGCCAGGUUGAGCCUAACCAGGCCUCUUUUGCUUACAUGCAAACAUGUUAUUUUGGAUAUCUGCUAAAUCUUUGAGCCCUGUUAUUAUAACAAGCUGUUACAUGGAGGGUAUGCUUUGAAACACUUCAGGGAUUCAUUACUGCAGAAAUCGUUGUGGAAAUGUAAUCACAUCCUGAAGUGGUGCUUUGAAUGUGUGUUAAAUAAAUUGAUUGAAGCUGCAUUAAUCAAUAACUUCAUGUAAACAUUGAAUUAUGAACUUUUGUGCUAUUAAAAAAUAUUUCCUAACCCCACAA